UACGUAGGGGGCAAGCGUUGUCCGGAAUUAUUGGGCGUAAAGAGCGUGUAGGCGGUCCGGUAAGUCGGCUGUGAAAGUCCAGGGCUCAACCCUGGGAUGCCGGUCGAUACUGCCGGACUAGAGGACGGUAGAGGCGUGUGGAAUUCCGGGUGUAGUGGUGAAAUGCGUAGAGAUCCGGAGGAACACCAGUGGCGAAGGCGACACGCUGGGCCGUACUUGACACUGAUGCGCGACAGCAUGGGGAGCAAACAGG
This 253-nucleotide ribosomal RNA is filed under the name uncultured bacterium. Its description in RNAcentral is "partial 16S ribosomal RNA". It matches the Rfam family "Bacterial small subunit ribosomal RNA", at positions 524 to 776 of the family's 1533-position model. The record is from RNAcentral.